UACCCGCAGCACAAGUGGUGGUCAUUAUUAUUGGGCGUAAAGAGCUCGUAGGCGGCUUGUCGCGUCGACUGUGAAAACCCGCGGCUCAACUGCGGGCCUGCAGCCGAUACGGGCAGGCUAGAGUUCGGUAGGGGAGACUGGAAUUCCUGGUGUAGCGGUGAAAUGCGCAGAUAUCAGGAGGAACACCGGUGGCGAAGGCGGGUCUCUGGGCCGAUACUGACGCUGAGGAGCGAAAGCGUGGGGAGCGAACAGG
RNAcentral lists this ribosomal RNA (253 nucleotides) under uncultured bacterium. Its description in RNAcentral is "partial 16S ribosomal RNA". It matches the Rfam family "Bacterial small subunit ribosomal RNA", at positions 524 to 776 of the family's 1533-position model. The record is from RNAcentral.